Molecule: transfer RNA, 73 nt
Filed under: Candidatus Sericytochromatia bacterium
Lineage: Bacteria; Bacillati; Candidatus Sericytochromatia
Description: tRNA-His
Rfam family: tRNA
About the family: Transfer RNA (tRNA) molecules are approximately 80 nucleotides in length. Their secondary structure includes four short double-helical elements and three loops (D, anti-codon, and T loops).
Source: RNAcentral
GUGGGUGUAGCCAAGUGGUUAAGGCGCCGGAUUGUGAUUCCGGUAUUCGUGGGUUCAAUUCCCAUCAUCCACC